CGCACCUUGCGCUCCUUGGUAUUCCAUGGAGCAUGCCUGUUUGAGUGUCAUUACAACCCUCAAGCUCUGCUUGGUGUUGGGCGUCGCCCCUUGGGGCGCGCCUCAAAAUCAGUGGCGGUGCCAUCCGGCUCCAAGCGUAGUAAUUCUUCUCGCUCUGGGUCCCGGUUGUGUGCUUGCCAUCAACCCCAAAUUUUCAAAGGUUGACCUCGGAUCAGGUAGGGAUACCCGCUGAACUUAA
RNAcentral lists this unclassified non-coding RNA (238 nucleotides) under Leotiomycetes sp. RNAcentral's name for it is "partial contains 5.8S ribosomal RNA, internal transcribed spacer 2, and large subunit ribosomal RNA". Lineage: Eukaryota; Fungi; Ascomycota; Leotiomycetes. The record is from RNAcentral.